Molecule: long non-coding RNA, 80 nt
Organism: Aricia agestis (brown argus)
Lineage: Eukaryota; Metazoa; Arthropoda; Insecta; Lepidoptera; Lycaenidae
Exons: 3
Source: RefSeq, a predicted model, not a curated record
CUCUUUCGGAAUUCGCCUAAACCUCAACUAUUUCUGUAAUACACUCUUCAUUAUUUUGGAGUCGGUAGCAAAUAGCUGAA